GGGGGAUUGCAUGGGCGAAGCCUGAUGCAGCGACGCCGCGUGAGGGAUGACGGCCUUCGGGUUGUAAACCUCUUUCAGCAGGGAAGAAGCGAAAGUGACGGUACCUGCAGAAGAAGCGCCGGCUAACUACGUGCCAGCAGCCGCGGUAAUACGUAGGGCGCAAGCGUUGUCCGGAAUUAUUGGGCGUAAAGAGCUCGUAGGCGGCUUGUCACGUCGGGUGUGAAAGCCCGGGGCUUAACCCCGGGUCUGCAUUCGAUACGGGCAGGCUAGAGUGUGGUAGGGGAGAUCGGAAUUCCUGGUGUAGCGGUGAAAUGCGCAGAUAUCAGGAGGAACACCGGUGGCGAAGGCGGAUCUCUGGGCCAUUACUGACGCUGAGGAGCGAAAGCGUGGGGAGCGAACAGGAUUAGAUACCCUGGUAGUCCACGCCGUAAACGGUGGGAACUAGGUGUUGGCGACAUUCCACGUCGUCGGUGCCGCAGCUAACGCAUUAAGUUCCCCGCCUGGGGAGUACGGCCGCAAGGCUAAAACUCAAAGGAAUUGACGGGGGCCCGCACAAGCAGCGGAGCAUGUGGCUUAAUUCGACGCAACGCGAAGAACCUUACCAAGGCUUGACAUACACCGGAAACGUCUGGAGACAGGCGCCCCCUUGUGGUCGGUGUACAGGUGGUGCAUGGCUGUCGUCAGCUCGUGUCGUGAGAUGUUGGGUUAAGUCCCGCAACGAGCGCAACCCUUGUCCUGUGUUGCCAGCAUGCCCUUCGGGGUGAUGGGGACUCACAGGAGACCGCCGGGGUCAACUCGGAGGAAGGUGGGGACGACGUCAAGUCAUCAUGCCCCUUAUGUCUUGGGCUGCACACGUGCUACAAUGGCCGGUACAAUGAGCUGCGAUAUCGUGAGGUGGAGCGAAUCUCAAAAAGCCGGUCUCAGUUCGGAUUGGGGUCUGCAACUCGACCCCAUGAAAGUCGGAGUUGCUAGUAAUCGCAGAUCAGCAUUGCUGCGGUGAAUACGUUCCCGGGCCCUUGUACACACCGCCCGUCACGUCACGAAAGUGGGUACACCCGAAGCCGGUGGCCCACCCUGUGGAGGGAGCUGUCGAAGUGGACUAGCGGAUUGGGACGAAUCGUAAACAGGGUGAGCAGAUUA
RNAcentral lists this ribosomal RNA (1140 nucleotides) under Streptomyces bungoensis. RNAcentral describes it as "bacterial SSU rRNA". It matches the Rfam family "Bacterial small subunit ribosomal RNA", at positions 358 to 1507 of the family's 1533-position model. The record is from RNAcentral. Lineage: Bacteria; Bacillati; Actinomycetota; Actinomycetes; Kitasatosporales; Streptomycetaceae.